RNAcentral lists this ribosomal RNA (567 nucleotides) under uncultured bacterium. RNAcentral describes it as "bacterial SSU rRNA". It matches the Rfam family "Bacterial small subunit ribosomal RNA", at positions 338 to 916 of the family's 1533-position model. The record is from RNAcentral.
CCUACGGGAGGCAGCAGUGGGGAAUAUUGGGCAAUGGAGGAAACUCUGACCCAGCGACGCCGCGUGCGGGAUGAAGGCCUUCGGGUUGUAAACCGCUUUCAGUAGGGAAGAAGCGAAAGUGACGGUACCUACAAAAGAAGCACCGGCUAACUAUGUGCCAGCAGCCGCGGUAAUACAUAGGGUGCAAGCGUUGUCCGGAAUUAUUGGGCGUAAAGAGCUCGUAGGUCGUUUGUUACGUCGGAUGUGAAAACCUGAGGCUCAACCUCAGGCCUGCAUUCGAUACGGGCAAACUAGAGUUUGGUAGGGGAGACUGGAAUUCCUGGUGUAGCGGUGGAAUGCGCAGAUAUCAGGAGGAACACCAAUGGCGAAGGCAGGUCUCUGGGCCAAUACUAGACACUGAGGAGCGAAAGUCUGGGGAGCGAACAGGAUUAGAUACCCUGGUAGUCCAGACCGUAAACGGUGGGCACUAGUUGUGGGAACCUUCCACGGUUUCUGCGACGCAGCUAACGCAUUAAGUGCCCCGCCUGGGGAGUACGAUCGCAAGAUAAAACUCAAAGGAAUUGACGG